GGAAUAUUGCGCAAUGGCCGCAAGGCUGACGCAGCGACGCCGUGUGGGUGAUGAAGGCCUUCGGGUCGUAAAGCCCUGUCAGGGGGGACGAAAUCUCGACGACCUAAUAUGUCGUUGCCUUGACGGUACCUCCAAAGGACGCACCGGCUAACUCCGUGCCAGCAGCCGCGGUAAUACGGAGGGUGCCAGCGUUGUUCGGAAUCACUGGGCGUAAAGCGCGUGUAGGCGGCCUUCUAAGUUUGAUGUGAAAGCCCGGGGCUCACCCCCGGAAGUGCAUUGGAUACUGGAAGGCUGGAGUACCGGAGAGGAGGGUGGAAUUCCUGGUGUAGCGGUGAAAUGCGUAGAUAUCAGGAGGAACACCUGUGGCGAAGGCGGCCCUCUGGACGGAUACUGACGCUGAGACGCGAAAGCGUGGGGAGCAAA
This 423-nucleotide ribosomal RNA is filed under the name uncultured bacterium. Its description in RNAcentral is "bacterial SSU rRNA". It matches the Rfam family "Bacterial small subunit ribosomal RNA", at positions 358 to 772 of the family's 1533-position model. The record is from RNAcentral.